GUGAGGAGUACAAGCUGGCGGGGAAGAUGCUCAAAACGAGGUGCAACAGAGGAGAACUGCAAAGGGGGAGCUUGGACUGCUUUCCCAGGUUGGGAAGAAUGCCUGGGAAGAAGGAAAUUGCCGCUUCUGUAUUUGCUGCAGAAAACUGCAAUGUGUGAUACCAUCAAGGAAGCUGGAGUCCCACGUCAAAGGAGACACACUCAUUGCCAUGUGGAGUCUAAGGACAAGCUGAAGGAGUUGAUUCUCUCUUCCACCACUCCUGGAGAAUGAACUCAGGUUGCCAGAUGCAGGAGGGAGGAUGGACCACAGGAGUAGCCAAACAGAUCAGCAGAAUCAACCCUGUGCUCAGUGGGGGUGGCACACAUGAAAGCCAGAUUGCUCUCACAUCCAAAGCCACUGUGUUGGACUAGCUGCUGUACCGGAACACCAGGCUUAAAAAUCAACCUGGAGACCUGGAGAGGUAUCUUAGCCGCUCAGGGUCCUUGCUGCUCUUGUUGUGGACCAGAGUUUGGCUCCUAGCACCCAAGUUGAACAGCUCACGAUCUCCGGCUUCUUCCUUCCAAGCUCUGGUAUUACAGGGGCUCAUACUCUGGAAUCCUAGUGACAGCACAAAUACAGAGGUACUGUGAGUCUGUAUUGAGUUGAUUUCACUAAUAUAACAACUGUGGCUGUGGGCCCAUUGAGAUGACCAUUGAGAUGGUAAAAAAAGGUGUUUGUUGCCAAGCCUGAUGACCUGAGUUUGACCCCAGAACCUACCUGGUGGGGAGAGUGGAGUCCUAGAAGAUGCCCUCUGAUCUCCAUAUGGGA
Molecule: long non-coding RNA, 807 nt
Organism: Mus pahari (shrew mouse)
Lineage: Eukaryota; Metazoa; Chordata; Mammalia; Rodentia; Muridae
Exons: 5
Source: RefSeq, a predicted model, not a curated record